GUGCGGGUCCUGUGCGGCAAAGCACUGUGAACCAUGUCAGGCGGGGAACCGAGCAGCAUUAAGCGGGCAGCUAUGCGCGCCACAGUCCGCCUGCUCGCC
This 99-nucleotide signal recognition particle RNA is filed under the name Clostridiales bacterium. Its description in RNAcentral is "signal recognition particle sRNA small type". It matches the Rfam family "Bacterial small signal recognition particle RNA". From Rfam's summary of the family: The signal recognition particle (SRP) is a universally conserved ribonucleoprotein involved in the co-translational targeting of proteins to membranes. Archaeal SRP consists of a 7S RNA and homologues of the eukaryotic SRP19 and SRP54 proteins. The record is from RNAcentral. Lineage: Bacteria; Bacillati; Bacillota; Clostridia; Eubacteriales. RNAcentral also lists the same sequence under 2 other names.